CUUUUUUCUAGUUAAAAAAAAAUCUGAAAUUUAUUUUUUAUAAGAUAGCAUAAAAAAAAUAAUAUUUCUCUUUUCUUUUGUAUAGGUUUGACCAAGCCGAAGGGACACAUUCACCAAUUCUGGCGCCACAGUUUUUCUUUUUCGAUAAAGCCACCUGCGGUUUCACCACUCGCAUUAACGGCUACUUUUACCCUCCUCCAAAUCUCGCCACGUGUCGCUUUUGGUGGGAAUUGAAAUUCCAUGUCGCCUACGGAAGGAAUCACGGAAAAUGCAUUUUUUUUUGACAUUCGAAGUCGACCUAAGCUAAACUUCUUCAACGGCGUCGUAGGGUCAAAGCAAUGUACAAUAUCUUCGUAGACGUUGGUGUGGUGGGAUCAGCUGAAGAGGGAAUAUCUGGUCCAACCCUG
RNAcentral lists this unclassified non-coding RNA (407 nucleotides) under Hevea brasiliensis (rubber tree). Lineage: Eukaryota; Viridiplantae; Streptophyta; Magnoliopsida; Malpighiales; Euphorbiaceae. The record is from RNAcentral.